GAUGAACGCUGGUGGCGUGCCUAAUACAUGCAAGUCGUACGCUAGCCGCUGAAUUGAUCCUUCGGGUGAAGUGAGGCAAUGACUAGAGUGGCGAACUGGUGAGUAACACGUAAGAAACCUGCCCUUUAGUGGGGGAUAACAUUUGGAAACAGAUGCUAAUACCGCGUAACAACAAAUCACACAUGUGAUCUGUUUGAAAGGUCCUUUUGGAUCGCUAGAGGAUGGUCUUGCGGCGUAUUAGCUUGUUGGUAGGGUAGAAGCCUACCAAGGCAAUGAUGCGUAGCCGAGUUGAGAGACUGGCCGGCCACAUUGGGACUGAGACACUGCCCAAACUCCUACGGGAGGCUGCAGUAGGGAAUUUUCCGCAAUGCACGAAAGUGUGACGGAGCGACGCCGCGUGUGUGAUGAAGGCUUUCGGGUCGUAAAGCACUGUUGUAAGGGAAGAAUAACUGAAUUCAGAGAAAGUUUUCAGCUUGACGGUACCUUACCAGAAAGGGAUGGCUAAAUACGUG
RNAcentral lists this ribosomal RNA (512 nucleotides) under uncultured organism. Its description in RNAcentral is "bacterial SSU rRNA". It matches the Rfam family "Bacterial small subunit ribosomal RNA", at positions 28 to 507 of the family's 1533-position model. The record is from RNAcentral.